Molecule: ribosomal RNA, 460 nt
Filed under: uncultured bacterium
Lineage: Bacteria
Description: partial 16S ribosomal RNA
Rfam family: Bacterial small subunit ribosomal RNA
Source: RNAcentral
CCUACGGGAGGCAGCAGUGAGGAAUAUUGGUCAAUGGACGAGAGUCUGAACCAGCCAAGUAGCGUGAAGGAUGACUGCCCUAUGGGUUGUAAACUUCUUUUAUAUGGGAAUAAAAUGUUCCACGUGUGGGAUUUUGUAUGUACCAUAUGAAUAAGGAUCGGCUAACUCCGUGCCAGCAGCCGCGGUAAUACGGAGGAUCCGAGCGUUAUCCGGAUUUAUUGGGUUUAAAGGGAGCGUAGGUGGAUUGUUAAGUCAGUUGUGAAAGUUUGCGGCUCAACCGUAAAAUUGCAGUUGAAACUGGCAGUCUUGAGUACAGUAGAGGUGGGCGGAAUUCGUGGUGUAGCGGUGAAAUGCUUAGAUAACACGAAGAACUCCGAUUGCGAAGGCAGUUCACUGGACUGCAACUGACACUGAGGCUCGAAAGUGUGGGUAUCAAACAGGAUUAGAUACCCCUGUAGUC